AGCAGAGUGCUUAGUGGAAAGAGCACUGGCUUGGGAGUCAGAGGACAUGGGUUCUAAUCCUGUCUCUGCCA
This 71-nucleotide transfer RNA is filed under the name Ornithorhynchus anatinus (platypus). It matches the Rfam family "tRNA". From Rfam's summary of the family: Transfer RNA (tRNA) molecules are approximately 80 nucleotides in length. Their secondary structure includes four short double-helical elements and three loops (D, anti-codon, and T loops). Lineage: Eukaryota; Metazoa; Chordata; Mammalia; Monotremata; Ornithorhynchidae. The record is from Rfam by way of RNAcentral.